UGGGCAGCUGAGGGGAAGCCAGUACAAGAAGAUGAUGACCAAAGAAGAACUGGAGGAGGAACAGAGGCCCAGCUGGAGGGGGCAUCCCCUGACCACACCUCUGUGCUACGUCUGAUGCUGGGGCUUGCAGAGGCUGCUCAGGCUGGCUUCGCCCUCCUGUCUCUGGGUUCUGGAGAGAAGAUAGCUACGAGACAGAACUGGACCCAGCCGAAUUUGGGGGAGCGGCCCUAGAACCUGUCCCCUGAGAAAUAGCACGAGUGCAGAGCUGGUGAGAUGGCUCAGCAAAUAAAAGUGCUUGCUGCCAAACCCUGCUGCCUGCCGACCUGAGUCCGAUCCUCAAACUAGUUCGAUAAAUAGGGAGAGCCCAGUGGUAUGAAUUGUCCCCCGAGUUCCACAGGCACACAUCCACAACAUACAUACUCUUGAAUCCGCGCAAAACGAAUAAAAUGUAAUAAUUAAUAAU
Molecule: long non-coding RNA, 463 nt
Filed under: Rattus norvegicus (Norway rat)
Lineage: Eukaryota; Metazoa; Chordata; Mammalia; Rodentia; Muridae
Description: long non-coding RNA NONRATT006300
Source: RNAcentral